Molecule: long non-coding RNA, 219 nt
Filed under: Lathyrus oleraceus (garden pea)
Lineage: Eukaryota; Viridiplantae; Streptophyta; Magnoliopsida; Fabales; Fabaceae
Description: Pisum sativum (pea) long non-coding RNA (PSAT_LNC006319)
Source: RNAcentral
AACUUUUCCUUACAAUAGGCCUCCUCUUCCUACCUGCCGACACUGCAUUAGUCUCGCCUUCCUUCUUCUUAGAAAAACUCCCUCCAUACUUCUUCCUAGUUGACGCCUCUUCCUUAGACAAACAUCCUUCACGGACUCCUUCCUUUAGUCUCAUCCCCAUGUUUACCAUUUUAGUAAAAUAAUUUGGGGCACUUGCAAUCAUGCGUUCGUAGUAAAACC